RNAcentral lists this transfer-messenger RNA (398 nucleotides) under Paludibacteraceae. RNAcentral's name for it is "Enterocola sp017614195 Standard tmRNA". It matches the Rfam family "transfer-messenger RNA". Rfam says of the family: Bacterial tmRNA, also known as 10Sa RNA or SsrA, is named for its dual tRNA and mRNA-like properties. Its role is to liberate the mRNA from a stalled ribosome. The record is from RNAcentral. RNAcentral also lists the same sequence under 1 other name. Lineage: Bacteria; Pseudomonadati; Bacteroidota; Bacteroidia; Bacteroidales.
GGGGCUGACUGGCUUUGACAGCGGGCAGAACGGGUGAGCAAGCACGCAGAGCGCUGUGGACGGGCUCUUAAAUCUCGAUCCUCAAACUAUAACUGGCGAAAACAACUUUGCUCUCGCUGCCUGAUCGAAGUACAGUAGAUCGGCUUGAUUUCGGCACAAGGUGCUGAAACGAGACAUCUCCCGGAAGCCGUCGUUUCGAGGCUCAUCGAACAAGGAGGUGCAGACAAAUCGGAACUGGUUGCGGCAAGCUUUCGUGUCGCAACGAGAUUUUAGAAAGCUACGGGUGUGAUUGGUGGCCUUGGUCUUGUCACACCCCGACAAUGAAGUCAAGGAUAAGCGUGUAGAAAACUUAUCUUUUCCCCGUUUGGACGAGGGUUCAAUCCCCUCCAGCUCCACAG